This 340-nucleotide ribosomal RNA is filed under the name Hippocampus abdominalis (big-belly seahorse). Its description in RNAcentral is "partial 12S ribosomal RNA". It matches the Rfam family "Bacterial small subunit ribosomal RNA", at positions 845 to 1352 of the family's 1533-position model. Lineage: Eukaryota; Metazoa; Chordata; Actinopteri; Syngnathiformes; Syngnathidae. The record is from RNAcentral.
AAGUAUUUUAAUUACAUAAAACUCGCCCGGGUACUACAAGCACUAGCUUAAAACCCAAAGGACUUGGCGGUGCUUUACACCCACCUAGAGGAGCCUGUUCUAUAACUGAUAACCCCCGUUAAACCUCACCCUAUUUUGCCUAAUCAAUUUAUAUACCGCCGUCGUCAGCUUACCUUGUGAAAGAACAACAGUGAGCAAAACUAGUUAUAACCCAAAACGUCAGGUCGAGGUGUAGUUUAUGAUAGGGAAAGAAAUGGGCUACACUCAUUCAUUAAAAUGAAUACGGAUAGUAUAUUGAAACAUAAACCUGAAGGAGGAUUUAGCAGUAAGAAGAAAAUAG